AUGAGUUCAAUAUCUUUGUCCCAAAGUAAAUAUUUCAGAAAGGUCCUCCUCUCCUUCAACUUGCCUACCUCUACUAUACCAUUAUCAUUUUAUUGUGAGUCACCGCUUAGUGCCACAUCCAGUUUAAUAUUCUUCUCCCCUUCUAAGCUUCUCUGCUUCUCUAUUCACCAUGAAGCCAAGAUCCCAAAGGAACAACAAUAUAAAGGACUUCAGAGAUCAUCAAGACAAGGAAUUGGACCAGAUAAUCUCUCAAGUUUAUUACAUGUCUAAAAUAUGGUAAUUUAAAAAGAAGAAAUGAAUAUCAAAAGAUCAUUUGCCAUUCUACUUGGACCUGAAAAGAGAUUUUCCUUUGACCAGUAGAUGUCACUACAGCCAUACAAAGUCAAGUUUAUUCCAGUUUACUCUUAAGUGGAACAUCUUUAAAUGCUUACACUCAUCCAUUGUGGAAAAGAUCUGUCUCUGUUGCUAGAGAAGCCCUUGAAGACAGGUGCAUUCAGAGGUCAGACCACACCAUUCAUGCUAUCCCUGAAGUGAAAGACCUGAAUACCUACUAUAUGUUCCAGACAUCUAUGGAUUCAUUGAUGUAGAUCUACCCUCCACUGAUUCAGUUUGUGAUGUCUCCCUCUUAGAGAGUGUUUUCCUGAGUUGUUAUGGAUGAAUAAUUUUGCCUUGUUCUGAAGCUUUCUGGUGCUGAGCUCUUCACAUUUAGCUUGGCUGGUUUCCAGAUCCCAGACACAUAUGCUCCAUUGCAAGACCUAUUCUUAAAGCCCUUCCCACUUGGUAGGACCUGCCAACCCCUGUGUUUUGCCCUUAUAACUUUCAAAAAUUCAGGGUCACCCUGAUGUGAUGGUAAGACAUCGGAGAAGGACUUUUGUGGAAAUUCAGAUAAAUAAUUCAGAUUCAGAUAAAUAAAAUAGAAGGUACAUUUCA
RNAcentral lists this long non-coding RNA (930 nucleotides) under Monodelphis domestica (gray short-tailed opossum). RNAcentral's name for it is "lncRNA (ENSMODG00000034877.2)". The record is from RNAcentral. Lineage: Eukaryota; Metazoa; Chordata; Mammalia; Didelphimorphia; Didelphidae.